ACCGGUACAGAGUCAAUGUGGAGACUAUAUACAGGGGGCACCGGUACAGAGUCAAUGUGGAGGCUAUAUACAGGGGGCACCGGUACAGAGUCAAUGUGGAGGCUAUAUACAGGGGGUACCGGUACAGAGUCAAUGUGGAGACUAUAUACAGGGGGCACCGGUACAGAGUCAAUGUGGAGGCUAUAUACAGGGGGUACCGGUACAGAGUCAAUGUGGAGGCUAUAUACAGGGGGUACCAGUACAGAGUCAAUGUGGAGGCUAUAUACAGGGGGUACCGGUACAGAGUCAAUGUGGAGGCUAUAUACAGGAGGUACCGGUCCAGAGUCAAUGUGGAGGCUAUAUACAGGAGGUACCGGUACAGAGUUAAUGUGGAGACU
Molecule: long non-coding RNA, 377 nt
Organism: Oncorhynchus tshawytscha (Chinook salmon)
Lineage: Eukaryota; Metazoa; Chordata; Actinopteri; Salmoniformes; Salmonidae
Source: Ensembl